GAUGAACGCUGGCGGCGUGCCUAACACAUGCAAGUCGAGCGGAGUUUAUUAAGGAAGUCUUAGAACGGAAAGAAUAAACUUAGCGGCGGACGGGUGAGUAACACGUGGGCAACCUGCCUUUAGCUGGGGAAUAACACUGGGAAACCAGUGCUAAUACCGCAUAACAUCCAAGUGUGGCAUCACAUUUGGAUCAAAGGAGAAAUCCGGCAAAAGAUGGGCUCGCGUCCGAUUAGAUAGUUGGUAGGGUAAAGGCCUACCAAGUCAACGAUCGGUAGCCGGACUGAGAGGUUGACCGGCCACAUUGGGACUGAGACACGGCCCAGACUCCUACGGGAGGCAGCAGUGGGGAAUAUUGGGCAAUGGGGGAAACCCUGACCCAGCAACGCCGCGUGAAGGAAGAAGGUCUUCGGAUUGUAAACCUCUGUUCUUGGUGACGAAAAGAUGACGGUAGCCAAGGAGAAAGCCCGGCUAACUACGUG
RNAcentral lists this ribosomal RNA (479 nucleotides) under uncultured bacterium. RNAcentral's name for it is "bacterial SSU rRNA". It matches the Rfam family "Bacterial small subunit ribosomal RNA", at positions 28 to 507 of the family's 1533-position model. The record is from RNAcentral.